AACGUUUUCACAAGUUUAUGGCCACUUUCGCCAAACUUUUACCAAGAUUCCAAGAUUACAAAUUUUUAAACCACGGAUCUUGACAACCGUACGUGAAACAUUUCUGAAUUGGAGUACUGAACUGUGAAACAAAGUCUUAUGUGCCAAAAUCCAAGAAAUCAACAUGCCUUUACCUACAGCAAGAUGUGUGGAAGAUCAACAAGACUCCUCUUCUGAGUAUGAUUCUCUUCCUGACAUUUCUGUUGUGGAUGUGUUUGAUCUUGCCUCUGAUGUUGGUAAUGAGUUAGAAAAAAUUAUAAAUAUCCACGGGAAUGAACUAGUCCAAGGUUUGAUGCAAAAGGUGAUAAGAGUUCUGGAGUUGCUUGAUAAAACCUCUAAAAGGCAAGAAUCAGAGCGACAACUUGUAGAAGAGUUACAGAGUAAUAUCAGUCUUCUUGAACGUGAGAAAAGAGAAAAAGCUGUUGACAGGUUACGUUAUGAAAGGGAAAUUGAACAGCUGGAAGAAAACUGGAAAAAAGAAACACAAGAACUUCUUGGGAAAAUUACCAGAGUUCAAGAAGAAAACAAGCGAUUAUCUUCCUCAUUGAAAGAGAGUAAAGAAAAAAUUGUUUCAAAAAAACCUGUACUCAAAGAACCUGAUUGGGACAUAUUUGAAAAGCUCAGGGAAGCAAAUGAGAAACAGAGAGAUCUGUUGCGCUGUAGGGAUAAGGAGUACCAAGAUAAAGUUGCUGAAAAUGAAUCUUUACAAAAUCAGGUGGAACGCUUGACGGAGAUUAAUAAAGAAUUACGGAGAAAGCAAAGUCACAUGUCUCAGCAAAUGAGAACAUUAGUUGAAGAGAGAGCGGAUUUGCAGGCUUUACACCAAGAGCAGUCGAGGAACUUAACUGCACUACAAAAGCGACUGGGCGUUGCACAACGAGACAAUGAAGAUUUGAUUCAGUGCCAGAACGAUGUGCCAGAUCUCACCAAUAAAAUUGUCAUUGACAUCAAUGAUCCGAACCGUCCUCGGUUCACCAUAGCUGAGCUAAAAGAGAUUCUUUGUGAACGAAAUGAGCUGAAAGCUCGCAAUAGUGAUUUGGUUGAUGAAUUAGCGCUAUACAGGCCCAGCAAAAAUCAUUCCAAUCCUGAAAGGGUAUCACCCACAAAUGGCGGUUCAAUUGUUUCUUCCGCUGAUCUUCUUGUAUCAGAAACUGACGAAUCUUCUACUGAUCUACCGGUUCAGGGCCCUCUGCCCUACGAACCGGAUGAUGCGCCAUGGAAACGUCCUACUUCCAGACGAAAGGAGUCGAGCAUAAGGAAAUUGUUUUCUACUUUGUCUUCUUUCCCUCGUUUAUUAGCUCCGCGCACUGUAGAUGGUGCAAAAUGACCUGAAGUUUCCCAACUUGUGAUAUUUUGCUAGCCAUUGUCCUUGUAUAUUGGUUUAAAAAACUUGUUACGUUGCCAAGUACGGGACUUUUGAAUCCACAGUGACGAGUACCAAAAGUUGGUUGACUGGUUUCCCCCAAAAAACAUAUGCCGAACAAAGUUUCUCGUAGCAAUUUUAGUUUAAAAUCGACUGUCAUUUAUUCGCGGUGUUUUAAAGUUUGCGUCAUUUCCAUUAAAUGUGGCCAUAGGUAUCCAAGCGAUCUGUAAACGUUAUAGGCGUUCUGCCAAUGCCGUUCUAGAAUCUAGUGAUCUGUUCGAUCAUCGAUAGUAAACCAAAUACUAUGUAUCCAACAUAACUACAUGAGAUACUCCUCCCCUACUAUAUCCAAAGACUAAAGACAUUUAUUAUUAGGACGUUUGAUUUGCCAUUAACGAUGUGAAAUACACACAUUAAAAAAAAGAA
This 1828-nucleotide unclassified non-coding RNA is filed under the name Daphnia magna. Its description in RNAcentral is "rILP-like protein homolog, transcript variant X4". Lineage: Eukaryota; Metazoa; Arthropoda; Branchiopoda; Diplostraca; Daphniidae. The record is from RNAcentral.